UAGGGAAUCUUCCACAAUGGACGCAAGUCUGAUGGAGCAACGCCGCGUGAGUGAAGAAGGUUUUCGGACCGUAAAGCUCUGUUGUUGGUGAAGAAGGAUAGAGGUAGUAACUGGCCUUUAUUUGACGGUAAUCAACCAGAAAGUCACGGCUAACUACGUGCCAGCAGCCGCGGUAAUACGUAGGUGGCAAGCGUUGUCCGGAUUUAUUGGGCGUAAAGCGAGCGCAGGCGGAAGAAUAAGUCUGAUGUGAAAGGCCCUCGGCUUAACCGAGGAAUUGCAUCGGAAACUGUUUUCUUGAGUGCAGAAGAGGAGAGUAGAACUCCAUGUGUAGCGGUGGAAUGCGUAGAUAUAUGGAAGAAUACCAGUGGCGAAGGCGGCUCUCUGGUCUGCAACUGACGCUGAGGCUCGAAAGCAUGGGUAGCGAACAGGAUUAGAUACCCUGGUAGUCCAUGCCGUAAACGAUGAGUGCUAAGUGUUGGGAGGCUUCCGCCUCUCAGUGCUGCAGCUAACGCAUUAAGCACUCCGCCUGGGGGAGUACGACCGCAAGGUUGAAAC
This 555-nucleotide ribosomal RNA is filed under the name uncultured bacterium. Its description in RNAcentral is "partial 16S ribosomal RNA". It matches the Rfam family "Bacterial small subunit ribosomal RNA", at positions 355 to 900 of the family's 1533-position model. The record is from RNAcentral.